Molecule: ribosomal RNA, 340 nt
Filed under: Gaurotes tuberculicollis
Lineage: Eukaryota; Metazoa; Arthropoda; Insecta; Coleoptera; Cerambycidae
Description: SSU rRNA
Rfam family: Eukaryotic small subunit ribosomal RNA
Source: RNAcentral
UUCCAGCUCCAAUAGCGUAUAUUAAAGUUGUUGCGGUUAAAAAGCUCGUAGUCGAAUCUGUGUCCCGCGCCGCCGGUUCAUCGUCCGCGGUGUUAACUGGCGUGCCGCGGGACGUCCUGCCGGUGGGCUUAGCUCGCAAGGGCGGUCCAACUCAAUCCCGCCGCGGUGCUCUUCACUGAGUGUCGAGGUGGGCCGGCACGUUUACUUUGAACAAAUUAGAGUGCUUAAAGCAGGCUAAAACUUCGCCUGAAUACUGUGUGCAUGGAAUAAUGGAAUAGGACCUCGGUUCUAUUUUGUUGGUUUUCGGAACCCCGAGGUAAUGAUUAAUAGGAACGGAUGG